GGCGUGCUAAUCUGCGAUAAGCGCCGGUAAGGUGAUAUGAACCGUUAUAACCGGCGAUACCCGAAUGGGGAAACCCAGUGUGAUUCGUCACACUAUCAUUAACUGAAUCCAUAGGUUAAUGAGGCGAACCGGGGGAACUGAAACAUCUAAGUACCCCGAGGAAAAGAAAUCAACCGAGAUUCCCCCAGUAGCGGCGAGCGAACGGGGAGGAGCCCAGAGCCUGAAUCAGCAUGUGUGUUAGUGGAAGCGUCUGGAAAGGCGCGCGAUACAGGGUGACAGCCCCGUACACAAAAGCGCAUGUGCUGUGAGCUCGAUGAGUAGGGCGGGACACGUGGUAUCCUGUCUGAAUAUGGGGGGACCAUCCUCCAAGGCUAAAUACUCCUGACUGACCGAUAGUGAACCAGUACCGUGAGGGAAAGGCGAAAAGAACCCCGGCGAGGGGAGUGAAAAAGAACCUGAAACCGUGUACGUACAAGCAGUGGGAGCACAGGUUUACCUGUGUGACUGCGUACCUUUUGUAUAAUGGGUCAGCGACUUAUAUUCUGUAGCAAGGUUAACCGUAUAGGGGAGCCGGAGGGAAACCGAGUCUUAACCGGGCGUUAAGUUGCAGGGUAUAGACCCGAAACCCGGUGAUCUAGCCAUGGGCAGGUUGAAGGUUGGGUAACACUAACUGGAGGACCGAACCGACUAAUGUUGAAAAAUUAGCGGAUGACCUGUGGCUGGGGGUGAAAGGCCAAUCAAACCGGGAGAUAGCUGGUUCUCCCCGAAAGCUAUUUAGGUAGCGCCUCGUGAAUUCAUCUCCGGGGGUAGAGCACUGUUUCGGCUAGGGGGCCAUCCCGGCUUACCAACCCGAUGCAAACUGCGAAUACCGGAGAAUGUUAUCACGGGAGACACACGGCGGGUGCUAACGUCCGUCGUGAAGAGGGAAACAACCCAGACCGCCAGCUAAGGUCCCAAAGUCAUGGUUAAGUGGGAAACGAUGUGGGAAGGCCCAGACAGCCAGGAUGUUGGCUUAGAAGCAGCCAUCAUUUAAAGAAAGCGUAAUAGCUCACUGGUCGAGUCGGCCUGCGCGGAAGAUGUAACGGGGCUAAACCAUGCACCGAAGCUGCGGCAGCGAACGUAUCACUUAAAGCGAUUCAGCGGGUUACGAUUGACGGAGCGAAGCGACGUCAAAGCGUAUACAAAGUCGAGUCGGUUUAAGGAUACGUUCGUUGGGUAGGGGAGCGUUCUGUAAGCCUGUGAAGGUGUGUCGUGAGGCAUGCUGGAGGUAUCAGAAGUGCGAAUGCUGACAUAAGUAACGAUAAAGCGGGUGAAAAGCCCGCUCGCCGGAAGACCAAGGGUUCCUGUCCAACGUUAAUCGGGGCAGGGUGAGUCGACCCCUAAGGCGAGGCCGAAAGGCGUAGUCGAUGGGAAACGGGUUAAUAUUCCCGUACUUGGUGUUACUGCGAAGGGGGGACGGAGAAGGCUAUGUUGGCCGGGCGACGGUUGUCCCGGUUUAAGCGUGUAGGUGUGUGUUCCAGGUAAAUCCGGUUCACUUUAACACUGAGGCGUGAUGACGAGGCACUACGGUGCUGAAGCAACAAAUGCCCUGCUUCCAGGAAAAGCCUCUAAGCAUCAGGUAACAUCAAAUCGUACCCCAAACCGACACAGGUGGUCAGGUAGAGAAUACCAAGGCGCUUGAGAGAACUCGGGUGAAGGAACUAGGCAAAAUGGUGCCGUAACUUCGGGAGAAGGCACGCUGACACGUAGGUGAAGUGAUUUACUCAUGGAGCUGAAGUCAGUCGAAGAUACCAGCUGGCUGCAACUGUUUAUUAAAAACACAGCACUGUGCAAACACGAAAGUGGACGUAUACGGUGUGACGCCUGCCCGGUGCCGGAAGGUUAAUUGAUGGGGUCAGCGCAAGCGAAGCUCCUGAUCGAAGCCCCGGUAAACGGCGGCCGUAACUAUAACGGUCCUAAGGUAGCGAAAUUCCUUGUCGGGUAAGUUCCGACCUGCACGAAUGGCGUAAUGAUGGCCAGGCUGUCUCCACCCGAGACUCAGUGAAAUUGAACUCGCUGUGAAGAUGCAGUGUACCCGCGGCAAGACGGAAAGACCCCGUGAACCUUUACUAUAGCUUGACACUGAACAUUGAGCCUUGAUGUGUAGGAUAGGUGGGAGGCUUUGAAGCGUGGACGCCAGUCUGCGUGGAGCCGACCUUGAAAUACCACCCUUUAAUGUUU
This 2220-nucleotide ribosomal RNA is filed under the name Salmonella enterica subsp. enterica serovar Paratyphi B. Its description in RNAcentral is "partial 23S ribosomal RNA". It matches the Rfam family "Bacterial large subunit ribosomal RNA", at positions 55 to 2215 of the family's 2925-position model. The record is from RNAcentral. Lineage: Bacteria; Pseudomonadati; Pseudomonadota; Gammaproteobacteria; Enterobacterales; Enterobacteriaceae.